AACAACUUCAAGCGGAAGCAGCUCCACAAAAAGGACAAAGAAUCAAGUUCUACUCAACUAUACAAGUUCCAUGACGCUAAUGGUCGGUAGUAUUUUCACUUACCUUGUGUGUUUGAAGUGUGUUAGAGAUGCUGCUUGUUAAGUGCUACUGUUAAAAUGUAUUGUGGGAAAAGGCAGUAUUGCAUUGCAGCAACAUUUGCUUUAAGCUUAAGUACUUAUUUGUUGGUAGAACUUUAUUUGAAAAGGCCCUAAUUUAUCUUGCUUAUUUGCUUAAAAAGAAGGUCCAAGUUAAAAGUUUAAAAUUGACUUACCUUGGAAUUUACUUACCUUUUACAAUUUAAAAGUUUAGUUUAAUCUAAAGACAAUUUAAAAUGCUUAAACAUAUCAUUUAAAGUUUAAACUCAAUGUACAAAAGUUACGAAAAUAAUUGAAUGUUUAACUUGAUAAGCUGCCUUAAAACCCUUAGUUUAAAAAUAUUAAUUGGUUAAAACAUUGGUUAACUAACUAAAAAUGUUUUAAUAUGUUUAAAUUAAUGGCAACAUUUAAAAAUUUAAUUAUUGAAUUAUUAAAAGUGAUUUAUUCUUUGAUAUGGCAUGUUGCUAAUUGUUGUUUCUGUCUUGAAGGUUUACAACCUGAUGAAAAAGAACAACCAAUCAACAUCAAAGAGCCAAAUGAAAAGUGGAAAAUAAAGAAGUUGAUUGAGUUGGAAAUCGAGUUGUCAUGGGUCAUUUGGAACUUAAAACUGUGGGGACUUGACAACUAGCGGCUUUUUAAAGAGACAGAGAACACUCCUCAGCAUGGUUAGCAACAUUCUGUCCUGCUGUUGAAUAAGGAAUAAUUCAUACUGUUCACCACAUGAGAUACAAUUAAAGUUGAGUAAUUCAUGUAUGUGGAGCAUGGUUUAUUUAGCUGUAAUUUAAGUAAAUCAAUUAGUUUCUCAUCUGUUUGUUUUCCUGACACAGCAUGAGCUUGAAGGCUGUGUGCUGGAGACUUUCUUCAUCGCAGGAAAUCAAUGAAUCUGGCAAAUCAAGCAAGACUAAAAUCUUCAGGGUUAUCACUUUAAAAGGUCCCAUGUGUAGACAUGGGAAUCAUGGCACAUCUGGCAAUCUGAAACUCCUUUGCUCACCUCUCCUACCUGUGGGUGAAGCUAUGGUGGCCUUUGAUCAUCACUAUGAUGGCCUUCAUCACAAUCCUGUGAUGCAUAAUAACGUCAUUAUUAAAAAUGUCAUUGUGAGCACAACAACCACUAAUUUUUUCUUCCUCUUCUUUCUUGUACUUGUGAAUAACAUGUUCCAUUUAUACCAAGUCUCUUCUGAUAAAUGCAACAAUUUAUUGGGGAAAAAAAGAUAUUGCUUUUUCUUUGUCUUUCUGCAAUUUGCAAUAUGAAAAAAAUCUGGAAUUUUAUUGACAGGUGAAAUGCCAUAUUUAUGUGCUAAAAAAAACAAACAAACAACAAACAUCUCAAUCAAAGGUUAAGAUGUUAUACUUAAGGUUAUAUGUUUUGUCAUUUGGGUCUUUAAGCCUGUUUUCUGCUUUCAAAUCAAAUCCCCUCAUACUUGAACUACACUGAGUUCAAUGUCUCUGUCUAUGUAGCAUUACUUGAGAUUGUAAUGAAGGUGGCCAGUGGAAUAACCUGUGGAGUAUCAGCUGCCCUAUCAGUUGUGACAAACUUAUUAAACUUUGCA
RNAcentral lists this long non-coding RNA (1685 nucleotides) under Xyrichtys novacula (pearly razorfish). The record is from RNAcentral. Lineage: Eukaryota; Metazoa; Chordata; Actinopteri; Labriformes; Labridae.